This 570-nucleotide ribosomal RNA is filed under the name uncultured Geodermatophilaceae bacterium. Its description in RNAcentral is "bacterial SSU rRNA". It matches the Rfam family "Bacterial small subunit ribosomal RNA", at positions 335 to 916 of the family's 1533-position model. The record is from RNAcentral. Lineage: Bacteria; Bacillati; Actinomycetota; Actinomycetes; Geodermatophilales; Geodermatophilaceae.
ACUCCUACGGGAGGCAGCAGUGGGGAAUAUUGGGCAAUGGGCGGAAGCCUGACCCAGCGACGCCGCGUGCGGGAUGAAGGCCUUCGGGUUGUAAACCGCUUUCAGCAGGGAAGAAGCGAAAGUGACGGUACCUGCAAAAGAAGCACCGGCUAACUACGUGCCUGCAGCCGCGGUAAUACGUAGGGUGCAAGCGUUGUCCGGAAUUAUUGGGCGUAAAGAGCUCGUAGGUGGUUUGCCACGUCGGAUGUGAAACCCUGAGGCUCAACCUCAGGCCUGCAUUCGAUACGGGCAGACUAGAGUGUGGUAGGGGAGACUGGAAUUCCUGGUGUAGCGGUGAAAUGCGCAGAUAUCAGGAGGAACACCGGUGGCGAAGGCGGGUCUCUGGGCCAUUACUGACACUGAGGAGCGAAAGCGCGGGGAGCAAACAGGAUUAGAUACCCUGGUAGUCCACGCCGUAAACGGUGGGCACUAGGUGUGGGACCCUUCCACGGGUUCUGCGCCGCAGCUAACGCAUUAAGUGCCCCGCCUGGGGAGUACGGCCGCAAGGCUAAAACUCAAAUGAAUUGACGG